AGUGAACGCUGGCGGCGUGCUUAACACAUGCAAGUCGAACGGCAGCACGGGAGCAAUCCUGGUGGCGAGUGGCGAACGGGUGAGUAAAGUAUCGGAACGUGCCCAGUCGUGGGGGAUAACGUAGCGAAAGUUACGCUAAUACCGCAUACGAUCUAUGGAUGAAAGCGGGGGAUCGCAAGACCUAGCGCGAAUGGAGCGGCCGAUAUCAGAUUAGGUAGUUGGGGGGGUAAAGGCUCACCAAGCCGACGAUCUGUAGCUGGUCUGAGAGGACGACCAGCCACACUGGGACUGAGACACGGCCCAGACUCCUACGGGAGGCAGCAGUGGGGAAUUUUGGACAAUGGGCGAAAGCCUGAUCCAGCCAUGCCGCGUGCAGGAUGAAGGCCUUCGGGUUGUAAACUGCUUUUGUACGGAACGAAAAGGUUUGGCCUAAUAAGCUGAGCUCAUGACGGUACCGUAAGAAUAAGCACCGGCUAACUACGUGCCAGCCGCCGCCGUAA
Molecule: ribosomal RNA, 500 nt
Filed under: uncultured bacterium
Lineage: Bacteria
Description: partial 16S ribosomal RNA
Rfam family: Bacterial small subunit ribosomal RNA
Source: RNAcentral